RNAcentral lists this ribosomal RNA (460 nucleotides) under uncultured bacterium. RNAcentral's name for it is "partial 16S ribosomal RNA". It matches the Rfam family "Bacterial small subunit ribosomal RNA", at positions 338 to 795 of the family's 1533-position model. The record is from RNAcentral.
CCUACGGGAGGCAGCAGUGAGGAAUAUUGGUCAAUGGUCGGGAGACUGAACCAGCCAAGCCGCGUGAGGGAUGAAGGUACAGAGUAUCGUAAACCUCUUUUGUCAGGGAACAAAGGCGGGGACGUGUCCCCGGAUGAGUGUACCUGAAGAAAAAGCAUCGGCUAACUCCGUGCCAGCAGCCGCGGUAAUACGGAGGAUGCGAGCGUUAUCCGGCUUUAUUGGGUGUAAAGGGUGCGCAGGCGGUCUGUUAAGUCAACGGUCAAAGCCCGGGGCUCAACCCCGGCACGGCCUGGGAAACUGGCAGGCUCGAGUUGGAGAGAAGGAGGCAGAAUGCGAGGUGUAGCGGUGAAAUGCAUAGAGAUCGCGCAGAACUCCGAUUGCGAAGGCAGCAUGCCGGCUCAACACUGACGCUGAGGCACGAAAGCGUGGGUAGCGAACAGGAUUAGAUACCCCUGUAGUC